CCUGAGCCGAGCACACAUAUAUCAGAUCAGUGACAAUAUCCUGAAGAUGAAUGCAAGCUUGGAUGCAAUGCAUUUGUAAACUUGUAUCGUGAACACGUCGGUAUAAGGGAAUAGAAUGCUGUAGGUGACAUGAUGCAGGUUGGUGUAUGAGCGAAGCUGUUCCCCAGAAUUGCCAGAAACAAUGUAUUUUGGUGUAUCACAGAAGUUGUUCCAGAGUAAUAAUUGCCUUGCACCAAACAAGUUCUGUUAUUACAAAAGUGAAUACAAGAUGAUAAAUAGAGCUAAAAGUUUUGGCUGCCAGAUCAAUCCAAAAGAAAAUAGACGAACAUGCUAGAUAGAAAAUGUCUAAAUCUACAGAAGAGUUUCUUAGUUUGCUGGUUAGUUUAAAAAAAAAUGAAAGAGUUAGUCAUUCCAGGUCUACUAUCAAACUCAAUAGAAUACAUUUUGAAGUUUACAAA
Biomphalaria glabrata is the source of this 458-nucleotide long non-coding RNA. RefSeq lists it as uncharacterized. Lineage: Eukaryota; Metazoa; Mollusca; Gastropoda; Planorbidae. The transcript is spliced from 4 exons. The record is from RefSeq and is a predicted model, not a curated record.